Molecule: ribosomal RNA, 429 nt
Filed under: Bacteroidota bacterium
Lineage: Bacteria; Pseudomonadati; Bacteroidota
Description: Bacteroidetes bacterium partial 16S ribosomal RNA
Rfam family: Bacterial small subunit ribosomal RNA
Source: RNAcentral
UAGGGAAUCUUCCGCAAUGGACGCAAGUCUGACGGAGCAACGCCGCGUGAGUGAAGAAGGAUUUCGGUUCGUAAAACUCUGUUGUUAGAGAAGAACAGCGCAUAGAGUAACUGUUAUGCGUGUGACGGUAUCUAACCAGAAAGCCACGGCUAACUACGUGCCAGCAGCCGCGGUAAUACGUAGGUGGCAAGCGUUGUCCGGAUUUAUUGGGCGUAAAGCGAGCGCAGGCGGUCAAUUAAGUCUGAUGUGAAAGCCCCCGGCUCAACCGGGGAGGGUCAUUGGAGACUGGUUGACUUGAGUGCAGAAGAGGAGAGUGGAAUUCCAUGUGUAGCGGUGAAAUGCGUAGAUAUAUGGAGGAACACCAGUGGCGAAAGCGGCUCUCUGGUCUGUAACUGACGCUGAGGCUCGAAAGCGUGGGGAGCGAACAGG